This 404-nucleotide ribosomal RNA is filed under the name Actinomycetes bacterium. RNAcentral describes it as "Actinobacteria bacterium partial 16S ribosomal RNA". It matches the Rfam family "Bacterial small subunit ribosomal RNA", at positions 355 to 776 of the family's 1533-position model. The record is from RNAcentral. Lineage: Bacteria; Bacillati; Actinomycetota; Actinomycetes.
UGGGGAAUAUUGGACAAUGGGCGCAAGCCUGAUCCAGCCAUGCCGCGUGAGUGAUGAAGGCCCUAGGGUUGUAAAGCUCUUUCACCGGUGAAGAUAAUGACGGUAACCGGAGAAGAAGCCCCGGCUAACUUCGUGCCAGCAGCCGCGGUAAUACGAAGGGGGCUAGCGUUGUUCGGAUUUACUGGGCGUAAAGCGCACGUAGGCGGACUUUUAAGUCAGGGGUGAAAUCCCGGGGCUCAACCCCGGAACUGCCUUUGAUACUGGAAGUCUUGAGUAUGGUAGAGGUGAGUGGAAUUCCGAGUGUAGAAGUGAAAUUCGUAGAUAUUCGGAGGAACACCAGUGGCGAAGGCGGCUCACUGGACCAUUACUGACGCUGAGGUGCGAAAGCGUGGGGGGCAAACAGG